AACGAACGCUGGCGGCAUGCCUAACACAUGCAAGUCGAACGAGACCUUCGGGUCUAGUGGCGCACGGGUGCGUAACGCGUGGGAACCUGCCCUUAGGUUCGGAAUAACUCCCCGAAAGGGGUGCUAAUACCGGAUAAUGUCUUCGGACCAAAGAUUUAUCGUCGUUGGAUGGGCCCGCGUUGUAUUAGCUAGUUGGUAGGGUAAAAGCCUACCAAGGCGACGCUCCAUAGCUGGUCUGAGAGGAUGAUCAGCCACACUGGGACUGAGACACGGCCCAGACUCCUACGGGAGGCAGCAGUGGGGAAUAUUGGACAAUGGGCGAAAGGCUGAUCCAGCAAUGCCGCGUGAGUGAUGAAGGCCUUAGGGUUGUAAAGCUCUUUUACCCGGGAUGAUAAUGACAGUACCGGGAGAAUAAGCUCCGGCUAACUCCGUG
This 433-nucleotide ribosomal RNA is filed under the name uncultured bacterium. RNAcentral describes it as "partial 16S ribosomal RNA". It matches the Rfam family "Bacterial small subunit ribosomal RNA", at positions 29 to 507 of the family's 1533-position model. The record is from RNAcentral.